Molecule: long non-coding RNA, 798 nt
Organism: Chinchilla lanigera (long-tailed chinchilla)
Lineage: Eukaryota; Metazoa; Chordata; Mammalia; Rodentia; Chinchillidae
Exons: 3
Source: RefSeq, a predicted model, not a curated record
UGUGAUCACUCCUCCAUGCAUGUUCUCCUGCUAUUCUGAUGUCAUCCACCCCAGGUUCUCGCCAAGCCAAGCAGAAGUCUGUGCCAUGACCCGAUCCUCCACGACUAAAAGGCAGCUCCAGCUUUGAGGACCCUGGACACCAUCACCCACUGGCCCCUGCUCCCAGGGCAGGUUGCAAGCGGAUGCCCCGUUGGCUGUGAUCACUCGGCUUCUCUGUAGCUCGCCCACCAUGCGCUCGGUGCUGCUCAGUGGCCACAGCCCGCCAGUCUCCUGUGGGAUGUCCCUGGCCCUGCCGUCACCCCUCCUGGUCCCUGCACAGCCACCUCUCAUCCUACAGCGCUGCAGUGUGGAUGCACCGCUGUGGUCAUAGCUGUCAUCGUCGUCCCCUACUGUGGGCAGCUGCUUCUGGACCGCACAGCUCAUCGUCUGUCCCUCCUGCUCAGUGGCAUUGCUGCUAAGUGGGGAUGCCUGCAUGGGGAUCCAGGUGGCCCUAUCUCAGAGCCCAUCUACUCAAUUCUUCCUGCUGUCUGCUCCCAACAAACCCUAUGUCCGUCCUUGAUCUCUGCCUCUAGCCCAGGGUAAUACUCCUGGCUGUUUUCCUCAACAACACAAGAGAAAUGUAGAAGGAUUGCUAGGUAAAUCAUCUGGAGAAAUCAGUACUUCUUUGGGACUUCUGGCUGCUUUGGGUGGGGGAAAUUUUAUCUUUUUCCACCUUCCUCUACAGGAAAGGGAAAGAGAUGGUAAGGGCAUGAGAAAGCGAUAGCCACAUCCCUCUUUAUCAGGUGAUGGGCGAACAGC